Molecule: ribosomal RNA, 240 nt
Filed under: uncultured bacterium
Lineage: Bacteria
Description: partial 16S ribosomal RNA
Rfam family: Bacterial small subunit ribosomal RNA
Source: RNAcentral
GAUCAUGGCUCAGGAUGAACGCUAGCUACAGGCUUAACACAUGCAAGUCGAGGGGAAACGAUAUUGGAAGCUUGCUUCCGAUAGGCGUCGACCGGCGCACGGGUGAGUAACGCGUAUCCAACCUGCCCACCACUUGGGGAUAACCUUGCGAAAGUAAGACUAAUACCCAAUGACAUCCCACGAAGACAUCUGAAUGGGAUUAAAGAUUUAUCGGUGAUGGAUGGGGAUGCGUCUGAUUAG